This 543-nucleotide ribosomal RNA is filed under the name Triticum aestivum (bread wheat). Its description in RNAcentral is "partial small subunit ribosomal RNA". Lineage: Eukaryota; Viridiplantae; Streptophyta; Magnoliopsida; Poales; Poaceae. The record is from RNAcentral.
AUGGAGGCUGCCAUGUCUGCAGUUGCAGGCGAACUCCUAAGCCGGUUCGUCUCCUUCCUGAUGAACAAGUACCACUACUCCAGCCAUACACAGUCAGAGAAGAUGGUGGAGAGGUUGCAGCAUCUUCUGAUGAGAGCUUGCACCAUCGUCAAGGAGGCGGACACACGAUACAUAACCAACUCUGGGAUGAUGAUGCAGCUCAAGAUGCUCUCAGAGGCCAUGUACAGCGGAUACAGCGUGAUGGAUGCCUUGAGGUACCAAACCCUCCAAGACAGUGCAGGCUUCGACGAGGUUAGCACUAACGACACAUCUAGCAGCAGCUUGCAUUUCACCAUUCCUUUCAAGCGUUCUCGAACAAUAACUCAGAAAGAUGGCAAGGCCAUGCGCCAUGAGCCAUAUGGUGCCUUGGAAAGAUUAGAAGUUGCUCUUGCUAAUAUGGCAAAAUUUGUUGUGCUUCUGGGUGGAUGCGAGCGCAUGUCUCGCAGGCCAUAUGACCUUUAUCUUUACACCGACAACUUCAUGCAUGUUCAGCCGACACGCUGA